This 492-nucleotide ribosomal RNA is filed under the name uncultured bacterium. RNAcentral describes it as "partial 16S ribosomal RNA". It matches the Rfam family "Bacterial small subunit ribosomal RNA", at positions 29 to 507 of the family's 1533-position model. The record is from RNAcentral.
AGUGAACGCUGGCGGUAGGCCUAACACAUGCAAGUCGAACGGCAGCACAGUAAGAGCUUGCUCUUACGGGUGGCGAGUGGCGGACGGGUGAGGAAUACAUCGGAAUCUACUUUUUCGUGGGGGAUAACGUAGGGAAACUUACGCUAAUACCGCAUACGACCUACGGGUGAAAGCAGGGGAUCUUCGGACCUUGCGCGAUUGAAUGAGCCGAUGUCGGAUUAGCUAGUUGGCGGGGUAAAGGCCCACCAAGGCGACGAUCCGUGGCUGGUCUGAGAGGAUGAUCAGCCACACUGGAACUGAGACACGGUCCAGACUCCUACGGGAGGCAGCAGUGGGGAAUAUUGGACAAUGGGCGCAAGCCUGAUCCAGCCAUACCGCGUGGGUGAAGAAGGCCUUCGGGUUGUAAAGCCCUUUUGUUGGGAAAGAAAAGCAGCAGGUUAAUACCCUGCUGUUCUGACGGUACCCAAAGAAUAAGCACCGGCUAACUUCGUG